Molecule: ribosomal RNA, 654 nt
Filed under: Yoyuteris iviei
Lineage: Eukaryota; Metazoa; Arthropoda; Insecta; Orthoptera; Phalangopsidae
Description: bacterial SSU rRNA
Rfam family: Eukaryotic small subunit ribosomal RNA
Source: RNAcentral
UUAAUGGAAUUGACGGAAGGGCACCACAAGAAGUGGGGCCUGCGGCUUAAUUUGACUCAACACGGGACAACUCACCAGGCCCGGACACCCGAAGGAUUGACAGAUUGAGAGCUCUUUCUUGAUUGGGUGCGUGGUGGUGCAUGGCCGUUCACAGUUGGUGGAACGAUUUGUCUGGUUAAUUCCGAUAACGAACGAGACUCUAGCCUGCUAACUAGGCGAUUCCGGCAUCCUCGGCGCAGCCGGCGACUCACAAUCUUCUUAGAGGGACAGGUGGCAUCUAGCCACACGAAACUGAGCCAUAACAGGUCUGUGAUGCCCUUAGAUGUUCUGGGCUGCACGCGCGCCACACUGAAGGGAUCAGCGUGUGUUUUCCUGGCCCGAGAGGGCCGGGCAACCCGUUGAACCUCCUUCGUGCUAGGGAUUGGGGCUUGCAAUUGUUCCCCACCAACGAGGAAUUCCCAGUAAGCGCGAGUCACUCAGCUCGCGUUGAUUACGUCCCUGCCCUUUGUCCACACCGCCCGUCGCUACUACCGAUUGAACGAUUCAGUGAGGUCCCCGGACCAGCGCGCGGCUUCGCUACGGCGUGGCCGAUGUCGCCGGGAAGACGACCGAACUCGAUCGUUUAGAGGAAGUAAAAGUCGUAACAAGGUUUCC